UGGGGAAUUUUCCGCAAUGGGCGAAAGCCUGACGGAGCAACGCCGCGUGAAGGACGAAGGUUUUCGGAUCGUAAACUUCUGAACGAGGGACGAACAAUGACGGUACCUCGCUAAAAGCACCGGCUAACUCCGUGCCAGCAGCCGCGGUAAUACGGAGGGUGCAAGCGUUAUCCGGAAUCACUGGGCGUAAAGGGCACGUAGGCGGUCUUCUAAGUCCGAUGUUAAAGCGUGGGGCUCAACCCCAUCACGGCGUUGGAUACUGGUAGGCUUGACGACUGGAGAGGUGAGUAGAAUUACCAGUGUAGCGGUGGAAUGCGUAGAUACUGGUAGGAAUACCCAUUGCGAAGGCAGCUCACUGGACAGUACGUGACGCUGAGGUGCGAAAGUGUGGGGAGCAAACCGGAUUAGAUACCCGUGUAGUCC
RNAcentral lists this ribosomal RNA (423 nucleotides) under uncultured prokaryote. Its description in RNAcentral is "bacterial SSU rRNA". It matches the Rfam family "Bacterial small subunit ribosomal RNA", at positions 355 to 796 of the family's 1533-position model. The record is from RNAcentral.